GUAGGUGGACCUGCGGAAGGAUCAUUACAGAGUUCAUGCCCUCACGGGUAGAUCUCCCACCCCUGAAUAUUAUACCUUCGUUGCUUUGGCAGGCCGUGGAAACACCAUGGGCUCCGGCUGAUGCGUGCCUGCCAGAGGAAACAAAACUCUGUUUUUAGCGAUGUCUGAGUACUAUAUAAUAGUUAAAACUUUCAACAACGGAUCUCUUGGUUCCG
RNAcentral lists this unclassified non-coding RNA (215 nucleotides) under rhizosphere metagenome. RNAcentral describes it as "partial ribosomal RNA internal transcribed spacer region". The record is from RNAcentral.